CGCUGCGUGCUCCGUGCGCGCGGCCCCGCCCUCGAGGCCGCCUGCUCUCCAGCCUCCCGGGCUACCGCCGUGCGUUCCCCGAGGGCGGCCUUUGUUGGUCUUUCUGAAGAAAACGCACACCCAGGAAGGAGAGACUGUAGCGAAACUGAGUUCUGUUAGGCGCGGUCGUCGCGGGCCUGGCAGUGCCGUGCGAGCCAUCGAGAUGUAUUUCCUUUAGGCGUCCACCCAUGGCGGGCACACGGCGCUGCUCUCCUCGGCUGCUCCGUGCAAUGCCGCAGCGAGCGUGGGAGCGAGUGCAGGCAUCUCGCAGACACCGGCUUCAUUUCCUUUGCGUAUUUACCCAGAAGUAGGAUUGCUGAGGCACAUGGUACAACUACAUUUGAAGAUAACAUGAAGAAGCCAGGUGCUUGAAUCUGCAUUCAAAUAAGUUGGGAUUUGAUAGAAGACCAAGUUCCAUUAAAUGCUUACAGACACUCUCUGUAUCUGACUUUAGGGAAGAAAAGGCUGAAUAAGUAUAUUCCCAGGUAUGUAUAAUCACUAUGAAAGCAGUGACUAAAACACAGAGAGAUCCCGUGGUUGUACUGGUGACUCAGAUGUUACGGGUGGCUUUGCCAUUGUCGAUGAGAUUCCCAAAUGGUUGCGUUGACAAUUCAUAGUGAAAAGGGUAAACAAAACAAAACUCAUGAGCUGCAUUGUUAUAAAAUUCGGGGUAUACUAAAAUCAUGCCAAAAAUUUUGUGUUUAUAUGUUAAAUGGAGCUAGGUUUUGAGCUGAAAUCAUUAUUUUUUUCCCCCACCUUCAUGAAUAUCCAUCAGGACAUUACAAAUUAGAGCUGAACUAAGCAUUGUAGAAAAUCUCAUUUCCUGGUCUCUUCCUUUCUAACUGCCCAUCGUGUAUCUCCCACCCCUUCCUCUGACCCCCCAUUAUUGUAACAACUAAAAAUGUCUUCUCAGAUUUUUAGCCCUCUCCUGAGCAGCAGUACUGCUGUGAGGAUCACAGAUGUAUAUUUUUGAUACAGAAAUAUGAGAUAGUUAAUAGAAAUUAGGUUAUAGAAUGGUAUUAUAGUAUGGUAUUAUACAGUUGCCUUUCAUUAUUUUGGAAGUGUUUCUACAUACAUAGGAGAAAUGGAUUGGCAUACUGAAAUGUUAACAGUAGUUAUCCCUGUUGUUGGAAUUUGAGGAAUAAUUUUUUUUUGUUUGAUCUGUAUUUUAAGUUCUUUCUACUUGAGAAAUUUUAAAAUGCAUUCAAGGCAAAAAAAAAAAAAGAAGAAGAAGAAGAAGAAGGUGGUGGUGGUGAGGUCAGGCAGGCACAUCCAUGAGGAUCCUUCUUGGUUCAUAGGGUCAGUCAGACCCCUAAAUCUGUGAGUGAGGACCAGCCCAAGUACCUGGUAUAAGCACUUGCUCAAACUCUGGAGAGAUGCCCCCUCCUUCUGGCACACAAACCACUCUUUGGUGCUCGCUGUUCCUUAGGAAUGGUGAACAGAGCAUUUCCUUCCUUCUUUUGGUCCAGAGUAAGUCAUACUAUGUUUUUGGCUUAAUAGCACAAAAUAGCACAGCAUUUUCUUUAAGAAUAGGAGCCCCCUGAACUCACCCACAUGCCUGCACCAUAAAUCUCAGGUAUAAAUCUCCAAACUAGGAGACUGGGUCCCAAGCUCGGAAAACCAUUUCCCAUCCACGGACCAAAAUCGGGGCAUCAGCAAGAUACAACAAGUCCAUGGGUUGCAUGCUAGAUGCUUGCGGCAGGCCUGGCACCGGGGAGCCUGCCAAGAAAACCAAGGAAGGAUGAUCGGAUAGGAGUACCCCUGUGUUGACAGGUCCCAGAAUUUUCCAAAUGACUGCCCACUGGGAUUUAACCCAACACACUGUCUCCAAUCCAAGCUGCCCGUCUCCAAGACCUCUGUCCUGCCCCGGGCCGUAUGUGUGGAUCCCCAGGCAGGGUGUGGGUGUACCUGACACACACACGUCUCCCAGACCUGAACGCCUGGGCCAAGACCAAGUAUAGUUUCCAGAUGUGGGCCUCACAUCUGGGCCAGCCAUCAGGAGGCCGCUUAUUUGAACAAAGACUGUAAGUACUCAAAGAGCCCCGAGGUCCAGAGAACGCUGCCAAGAGCUGGCGAGCAGAUGAGUGGAGAACAGUCCUUGAUUUAUGGUUCCAGGAGAGGAAGAAAGCCAUGCUUUGUGGUCCUGCACUGAUACGUGUGAAGCAAGGUAUUCGGUCCCCCAGGAGAGGCAGCAGCUUCAUUCACGGGAUUAAACUCAGGGGCUCAGAUUCCAGGAGGAGCAGAAUUCCGGACUGAGCAUAGACUUCCUUUUCAGCAUCCCACCUCGACCUUGCCCCCUUUCCACAUCAUCUCAUAACUCGUAUCCUGCGGAAACACUUUGGGAAUAGAAGACCUUACAGUCUGACAGCUCAGUGGGCACCUUUAGCUCAUCGUCCCCACCAGACACACUUUUAUACAUAACCGUGUACCUUGAGCUUUUUCCCCACUUGAUAGGAGGAACCGAGAUGAAUCAAUCUGUUUGCAGUCAUCUUUGGAGGAGGUCAUCGAGAUUAACGCAACUUGGAGCAGAAUGGGGCCCUCCUCCUACAGAGUGGAGAAGUGCGCUCGGGGCUGAGUUGUGUUGGGCAAAAUUGUGUCUGGUCCCCACCCCCCUUUAUAUGCUAAAGCCCUAACCACCAGUGGCUUGGAAUGUGACUGUAUUUGGAGACAGGGGCUCUAAAAAGGCCAUUACGGUAAAAUGAGGUCAAUAGGAGGGGCUCUAAUCCGUUAUGUUGUAUCCUCAGAAGAAGAGAUUGUGCCAGACACACGCAGAGGGAAGACUAUGCAAGGACACGGGGAGAAGGCAGCCAUCUCUCUACAAGAGAAAGGCCUCAGAAGGAACCUGCCCUGGUGACCCCUGGAUCUCAGGCUUUCAGCCUCCAGGAAUGUGAGAAAAUCUGUUUCGGUUAAGCCAGCCCGUCUGCAGUGGCAGCUGGAACAAACUAAGAUGGAGGGUGGCGGGGGGGGGGGGGGGGGCUCGGCUGUGUUGGUGGGGCUGAGCUGCCUGGCCUAGUGGGGGACCAAGGACCAGGCUGGUGAGGCCGGGCAGCACCAUGAGGAGGCCUGGGUGCAGGUGUGAGCCCCAGGAUGUUUGUAGUUUAUUUUCUAGAUGGUGCUUUCAUUAUCCUCACACUGUCGGGACAGUUCUGUUAAGUGUCACUGCCUGGCCUCUGCUUUGUGUGGAACAUGGAAAAGGUCCUCGCUGAAGGGGCCCGGAGGGCAGUUCUGCCACAGAACCUCAAGUCCAGAAUCAGGAAGGGGCAAGAGCGUGCCCACUGGCAGGGGCAGCCUCCUUAGGGCCUCAGUAUUAGCUGGAGGGUCCUUUGAGAACCAGUUUCCUUCAGUGAUGCUGGUGUACACUUUCACCAUUUUCACUUGGAUUACAGGUAGAAAAGAAAUGUUUCUAGCCAUGCCAACUUUGGGGAAGUGAUUUAAACUCUCUGGUCCUGUUUUUUGACUGUGAAAUAGGGCUAAGCGUCCCUUAUAGAGCAUUAUAAGGAUUAAAUGAGACAACGUAUAGAAAGGCUAUAGAAGUAGAUCUUACUUUCUCUUCUUCACCAAGUGUUUCUUGAGCACCUGCUAUGUGCCAGAUACCAUAUUGUGCUUUGAGAAUAUAAUAGAAAAUAAGAGAAAAAAUUGUCCCUGUCCCACAGAACUUAUAUUGUAGAGAGAGAGCAACUGUAAAGGAAACAGAUGUGAAAAGUGGCUCUCGAAGAAAGAGGAGUCCAGGCUGUUGCAAAGUCAGGCUAAAGAGGGGAAAGGACCUAUGGGCAGGUGCUUGCAUUUCACUCAGCAGACCCCCGUGAGGAGCCUUGGACUAAGGACACAUUGCAAGGGCUGAUGCUUCCUGGAGAAUGGGCUGGAAAAAUCUGCUUGUUGGCCCAGGGAAAUAAUUAGGAAGCUUAUUUAUGCCCAGGAUUCUGAGAGAAGAAAAAAAAAAUGUCUAAAAAUAAAAUGAGUCUGGCGGCUCCUCCAAAUGUUAAACACAGAAUUGCCGUAUGACCCAGCAACUCCACUCGGAGGCAUAGGCUUCAAAACCUUGGAAGAAGGGUCUCGAGCCGGUCCCUGUACAGUGUCCCCAGCAGCUCUGUUCACAACAGCCCAAAGGUGGGAACAGCCCAUCGGCAGAUGACUGAAUCAGCAACGUGUGGUAGACGCACACAUUACUGAACCUUAACACGGAUACGAUCCUAGUACAUGGACAAUGGGAAGGAACCUGGAAGACAUCGUGCUAAGUGACAUGAACCAGACACAAAGGGGCAAAUACUGCAUGAUCGCACUUACACAAGCUACGCACACUAGUCCAGUUCUCAGCAGUAGAAAGUAGAACAGAGGUUAUGGGCGUGGGGGUGGGUGGGGCGUUCCUGUUUACUGGGUCCAGAGUUUCUAUUUGGGAUGAUGAAAAGCUCUGGAAAUGAACAGUGCCCAUGGCUAAUGCUGCUAACUCAUGCACUUUAAAAGAUAAGAAAAAAAUGGAAAAUGUGUAUUUUACCAUGAUCAUGUAUAUUUUACCAUGAUAAAAAGGAAAGAGAAAGUUAUUUGCCCCAGCUAGAAGACCUACGGGGGCUGAGUGCUCAGCCUGGCACCCGGGGGUCCCCCUCUCUCUCGGGAGAGCGCGUGCUGCUCACGGUGGCUGGAAGUUAUGGGAGCCCCGGGACCAACCACAGGAGGAAGACAGCACCACGCCUCUCCUCUUCCGUUUAUUGCUCACCCCUGUUUCUUGCACCUGGGUUUCCUGUCUCCCCGUCUUCCCUCUACAUCAUACUUGCUCUUGUUGGGUUUCAAGGAGUGAGUCACUGAGCCUCUCUGUUGCUGGCAUGUGCCCUAGGGCCAGGCUGUGUGGAAUCCCAUCUCAGCUCUGCCACUUACUGGGGGGCUACUCUGGGGCAGGUCUCUCUAGCUCUCUGCCCCUGUCCCACCUGGGAGAAGGGAUUCAAGCAGGGGUGGUUGUGGAAAUAAAGUGAAAUUGCACAUGGGGUGUGUGCCUGGAGCAGCGGCUGGCACCCGAAGCCUGGGUGGCUGUUUUCUUUGUGAGCGCACUGCAGGGCUGAGGGAGGGUCUGUGGCCAGCAUUCAAGCUUGGUGAACUCUUGGAAUCCUUUUGCAGGAUUCUUAAAGCCCCAGGACUCUUCUAGAAUCCAUCAGAGCCAGGAAGAAAGAAACAUUGCCCAUGCAAAUCCUUACUUACUUGGCGAUGUGGAAUGAUCUCUUCGUUUCUGUGGGACGUGGUUUAUAUGUGACUGGGCUGUGAUCAGUGUCGUCUAAAAAUCACUUGAGGUGUGCUCACAAGGGUCCCCGCGCAUAAUCUAAGGGAGUCUCCUUUCAUUCAGCCGCGCUGCCCCCCGUGGGCAGUCUGCACUCUGCAGCCCAGGUCACUCUGGAGCCCGCAGCGGGGCGGGGAGGCUUGCAGAGGCCUGAUGGUAUUAUGUUUCCCCUGACAUAAGCCCACUCCUGAUUCUGUUCCCUCUGUUCUCUGUGAAUGGAUUUGUGAGAUACUUACAGCACAACUGUUCCCAUGAAAUGAGGCUUAACAAAAAGAAAAGAAAAAGGCAGCAGGCCUCUGAUAACCCAAGGAGACACAGUCCCCAUGUGUGACUCCGGGCAGGUUGUGGAUCUCAACCAGCAAACAGGCUCCUAGA
Long non-coding RNA from Mustela erminea (ermine), 5677 nucleotides. RefSeq lists it as uncharacterized. Lineage: Eukaryota; Metazoa; Chordata; Mammalia; Carnivora; Mustelidae. The transcript is spliced from 3 exons. The record is from RefSeq and is a predicted model, not a curated record.